Molecule: ribosomal RNA, 483 nt
Filed under: uncultured bacterium
Lineage: Bacteria
Description: partial 16S ribosomal RNA
Rfam family: Bacterial small subunit ribosomal RNA
Source: RNAcentral
ACUCAAAUGAAUAGACGGGGACCCGCACAAGCGGUGGAGCGUGUUCUUUAAUUGGAUGCUAAGCCGAAAACCUUACCAAGGCUUGACAUCUCGGAAAGUCCGCCGAAAGGCGGAUGUGCCUUUUGGAAUCCGAUGACAGGUGAUGCAUGGCCGUCGUCAGCUCGUGUCGUGAGAUGUUGGGUUAAGUCCCGCAACGAGCGCAACCCUUAUCGUUAGUUGAAUUCUCUAACGAGACUGCCCUGGUAACAGGGAGGAAGGAGGGGAUGAUGUCAGGUCAGUAUCUCCCUUACGCCUUGGGCUAGAAACGCGCUACAAUGGCCGGUACAAUGGGCAGCCAAGUCGCGAGACGGAGCUAACCCCACCAAAGCCGGUCUCAGUUCGGAUUGUAGGCUGAAACCCGCCUGCAUGAAGCUGGAAUCGCUAGUAACCGUAGGUCAGCACACUACGGUGAAUACGUUCCCGGGUCUUGUACACACCGCCCGU